ACCUACGGGAGGCAGCAGUAGGGAAUCUUCCACAAUGGGCGAAAGCCUGAUGGAGCAACGCCGCGUGGGUGAAGAAGGUCUUCGGAUCGUAAAACCCUGUUGUUAGAGAAGAAAGUGCGUGAGAGUAACUGUUCACGUUUCGACGGUAUCUAACCAGAAAGCCACGGCUAACUACGUGCCAGCAGCCGCGGUAAUACGUAGGUGGCAAGCGUUAUCCGGAUUUAUUGGGCGUAAAGAGAACGCAGGCGGUCUUUUAAGUCUGAUGUGAAAGCCUUCGGCUUAACCGGAGGAGUGCAUUGGAAACU
Molecule: ribosomal RNA, 305 nt
Filed under: uncultured bacterium
Lineage: Bacteria
Description: bacterial SSU rRNA
Rfam family: Bacterial small subunit ribosomal RNA
Source: RNAcentral